CCCUUAGAUGUUCUGGGCUGCACGCGCGCUACACUGAUGCGCUCAACGAGUUUCAACCUUGCCUGGAAAGGUUGGGUAAUCUUUUUAAAACGCAUCGUGAUGGGGAUAGAUUAUUGCAAUUAUUAAUCUUCAACGAGGAAUUCCUAGUAAGCGUGAUUCAUCAAAUCGCGUUGAUUACGUCCCUGCCCUUUGUACACACCGCCCGUCGCUCCUACCGAUUGAAUGUGUUGGUGAGGAGCUCGGAUUGGCAGCAGUUGGUGGUUCGCCACCGGCUAUUGCUGAGAAGUCCUCCAAACCGCCCCAUUUAGAGGAAGGAGAAGUCGUAACA
This 328-nucleotide ribosomal RNA is filed under the name uncultured eukaryote. Its description in RNAcentral is "partial 18S ribosomal RNA". It matches the Rfam family "Eukaryotic small subunit ribosomal RNA", at positions 1470 to 1796 of the family's 1831-position model. The record is from RNAcentral.